Molecule: transfer RNA, 66 nt
Filed under: Pseudothemis zonata
Lineage: Eukaryota; Metazoa; Arthropoda; Insecta; Odonata; Libellulidae
Description: tRNA-Asn
Source: RNAcentral
UUAGUUGAAGCCAAAAAGAGGCAUAUCACUGUUAAUGAUAAUAAUGAAAAAUUAUUUCCAACUAAG